This 82-nucleotide transfer RNA is filed under the name Lacrimispora saccharolytica. RNAcentral describes it as "tRNA-Leu". It matches the Rfam family "tRNA". From Rfam's summary of the family: Transfer RNA (tRNA) molecules are approximately 80 nucleotides in length. Their secondary structure includes four short double-helical elements and three loops (D, anti-codon, and T loops). The record is from RNAcentral. Lineage: Bacteria; Bacillati; Bacillota; Clostridia; Lachnospirales; Lachnospiraceae.
GGCGGAUUGGUGGAACAGGCAGACACACGAGACUUAAAAUCUCCGGCUAUAUAGCGUAUCGGUUCAAGUCCGAUAUCCGUCA